GAAGAGCUCGUGGCAUUGCAGGAGCCUGCAUCUUAGAGAGACGUGAGGGCUAUAUGAGCUUGGGGACGAGACAGUUAAUGCCUCCCUGUGCGAGCGAGUUAUAUCAUACAGCGCCAGUGCCAGGUCAGCAGUCUGGCUGGAGCUUGGACGUGGCUGAGUGUGCCAAGCAGUGCCAAGCACCCCAGGCAGCUGGGAGAGAGGGGUCUAAUUCCAGCCUUCCUUCUGCAGCCCGGAGGAUGCUUUGACAACUGCCUUGCGAAAGGAAACUCGGAGCUGUGUUGGUGAUUCCCAGACAAGCCAUGCUGGAGCAAGGAACUCUCCCGGCUGGGAGCCCACUGCUGCUGUGACAAAGGGAGCCCCGGCUGAGACCCUGCUCAGACACAUUGGAACCGGGAAAGACUGGGUGAUUAUUACCUAACACGUGUGCUACAGAUACGUCCUGUAUCUUCAUUUCUCUGGGAUUCCUUUCGGCAAAUUCUGCGUGAUUUUACCUGCCCGGAAAGGUAGUCUGGGGAUGAAGCGACGCCCCCGUAAGGCGGGAUUUUGAAUACCUGGGAUGUGAGCAGCACGGUACCAAUUCACCUGUUCUGAGACCCGGCCUCUCAGUGUUGGACACAGACAGUGAAACCUCGGGCACGUGACGCGCAGUAACGCGUCCAGGGCCACAGGCAGCACGUGACGGAGCCCAGACUCCUAGGAGCUCGGCAGUGUCCAGAGUUCGCGGCCGUCCCGGACUCCCUGCACAGGCGGCGUGGGAAAUGUUCUCGUGGUCCUGAGUCAGCGGCCUCGCCUUCCCUCCAGAGGAAAGCAACACCUUCCUGCCUGUGGUUGGAGGUCUGCCUGCGAGCAGUGAGAUGUUGCCCCAGGAUCCUUGAGCCUGCAGUUCACCAACAAGCCCUUCCUUUUGGGAAUAAUCGGGGGUAUGUCUGCAGGUGUAGAAAGAAGAAAAGCCCAGUGUACAACUUUAAAGAUGUGCCAGGGAUGGCCACAUAGGUCUCUCUGCAGAGAACUGUAUGCGUUCAGGGACACCUGUGGUCUUUGACGGAUCCAUGCUCCAGACGCAAAGGGAUGCUGGAUAAUUCUGCAAUGCUAUAGGUGUACUUAAAAAGCAUGAAAAAUGUCUGUUUCCAGGUGGCCGAGAAGAAAGGGAAGCUAGAGCAUAAAUAGAGGUUGAAACCAAGCAGCUGUGAAGUUAUCGAGACCAGAAAGACAUCUUUAGGGCUGGGAAACUGACCGCUGCCUGAGGAUGCCUGGGGAGCUUGUGGAUGCUGUGUGCCAUGAGGAUCAGGGGAGCAGCUUUACAAACCCAGGAACAGGGAGGGAGCUACCAUGACUGUGUAGAGACUCGCCUUGCUUGGCCCUCCAGGAACGCAGAGCAAUAACUGAUGCCGGCUCUGGACCCCAGGUGUACCUCUUGUGUGAAGCCUCAGUUCACACCGUCUGCACUCUGGAAAUUUUGAGCAGGAAUUGAAUAUAAAGGUUGAUCUAUAUCCAACUGCAACCCCCAAGACCCCAGCCCAGGGCAGGUGCCUGCACAACUCAGGGUGUUUCUGGGACAGAGAAGGAUAAUCCCCAAGUUCUCACCUGUGAGAACUUGCCACCUUGAGGCUGAACAGACUCGAUAAAAGAAGAAUUCACAUCUGAGGACCUACAGAUGAAGGAAACAUCAAAAUGCACCUUUGAUCAUGAAGACACAAUA
Sus scrofa (pig) is the source of this 1699-nucleotide long non-coding RNA. RefSeq lists it as uncharacterized. The record is from RefSeq and is a predicted model, not a curated record. NCBI's taxonomy places the organism in Eukaryota, Metazoa, Chordata, Mammalia, Artiodactyla, Suidae.